This 345-nucleotide ribosomal RNA is filed under the name Archipsocus recens. RNAcentral describes it as "partial 12S ribosomal RNA". Lineage: Eukaryota; Metazoa; Arthropoda; Insecta; Psocodea; Archipsocidae. The record is from RNAcentral.
UGCAUAUUCAUGAACCAUAAUCAAAAGAUUUUAAUUAAUCUAUUUACCUUCAAAUCCAAUUUCCAUAAGCUAAUUUCAAGUCUUCUUCCAUUAAUAACUUAACUGUAAUACAUUUUGCCUAAUAAAACCUGCAUCUUGACCUGACUUAUCUUUUUUUAAAAAUUACAAAAUAAAUUUACAAAAAAUUUUUUAAGACGGAGAUAUACAAAGUAAUUUUAUUAGUAAGAUUUUCGGGGAUUAUCGAAUUACCAAAACAUAUUCCUCUGAAUUGAAUAAAUACCGCCAAAUCUUUUAAGUUUCCUGAUCAUAUCAUUUACUACUCAAAACACUUUUUUCAUUAACAAA